This 429-nucleotide ribosomal RNA is filed under the name Chloroflexota bacterium. RNAcentral's name for it is "Chloroflexi bacterium partial 16S ribosomal RNA". It matches the Rfam family "Bacterial small subunit ribosomal RNA", at positions 355 to 776 of the family's 1533-position model. Lineage: Bacteria; Bacillati; Chloroflexota. The record is from RNAcentral.
UAGGGAAUCUUCGGCAAUGGACGAAAGUCUGACCGAGCAACGCCGCGUGAGUGAAGAAGGUUUUCGGAUCGUAAAACUCUGUUGUUAGAGAAGAACAAGGACGUUAGUAACUGAACGUCCCCUGACGGUAUCUAACCAGAAAGCCACGGCUAACUACGUGCCAGCAGCCGCGGUAAUACGUAGGUGGCAAGCGUUGUCCGGAUUUAUUGGGCGUAAAGCGAGCGCAGGCGGUUUCUUAAGUCUGAUGUGAAAGCCCCCGGCUCAACCGGGGAGGGUCAUUGGAAACUGGGAGACAUGAGUGCAGAAGAGGAGAGUGGAAGUCCAUGUGUAGCGGUGAAAUGCGUAGAUAUAUGGAGGAACACCAGUGGCGAAGGCGGCUCUCUGGUCUGUAACUGACGCUGAGGCUCGAAAGCGUGGGGAGCAAACAGG